GUGCCAGCCGCCGCGGUAAUACGCAGGGUGCAAGCGUUACUCGGAAUUACUGGGCGUAAAGCGUGCGUAGGUGGUUCGUUAAGUCUGCCGUGAAAGCCCCGGGCUCAACCUGGGAAUUGCGGUGGAUACUGGCGGACUAGAGUGCGGUAGAGGGUGGUGGAAUUCCCGGUGUAGCAGUGAAAUGCGUAGAGAUCGGGAGAAACAUCUGUGGCGAAGGCGGCCACCUGGACCAGCACUGACACUGAGGCACGAAAGCGUGGGGAGCAAACAGGAUUAGAUACCCGAGUAGUCC
This 292-nucleotide ribosomal RNA is filed under the name uncultured bacterium. RNAcentral's name for it is "partial 16S ribosomal RNA". It matches the Rfam family "Bacterial small subunit ribosomal RNA", at positions 505 to 796 of the family's 1533-position model. The record is from RNAcentral.